Molecule: ribosomal RNA, 447 nt
Filed under: uncultured Pelagibacterales bacterium
Lineage: Bacteria; Pseudomonadati; Pseudomonadota; Alphaproteobacteria; Candidatus Pelagibacterales
Description: bacterial SSU rRNA
Rfam family: Bacterial small subunit ribosomal RNA
Source: RNAcentral
GAGAUGUGGGUAGUCCGCACGAGCGCACCUCACUUUUAGUUGCCAUCAUUAAGUUGGGCACUCUGAAAGAACUGCCAGUGAUAAGCUGGAGGAAGGUGGGGAUGACGUCAAGUCCUCAUGGCCCUUACGUGUUGGGCUACACACGUGCUACAAUGGUAUCUACAACAGGAAGCAAGACUGCGAAGUUGAGCAAAUCCCUAAAAGAUACCUCAGUUCGGAUUGCACUCUGCAACUCGAGUGCAUGGAGCUAGAAUUACUAGUAAUCGUGGAUCAGCGUGCCACGGUGCAUGCGUUCCCGGGUCUUGUACACACCGCCCGUCACACCAUGGGAGUUGGUUCUACCUUAAGGCAAGGUUUUAAACCCUUGACCACGGUAUAGUCAGCGACUGGGGUGAAGUCGUAACAAGGUAGCCGUAGGGGAACCUGCGGCUGGAUUACCUCCUUUCU